CGCUGAAGUGAUGGCAAUUAAAACUUAAAUAUACCCUGAACAACACAUGUUGUCAACUUCAUCCCUGAUCAGCG
This 74-nucleotide small nucleolar RNA is filed under the name Chlamydomonas reinhardtii. RNAcentral describes it as "CrCD38 snoRNA". The record is from RNAcentral. Lineage: Eukaryota; Viridiplantae; Chlorophyta; Chlorophyceae; Chlamydomonadales; Chlamydomonadaceae.